This is a non-coding RNA of Caenorhabditis elegans, 193 nucleotides long. The record is from Ensembl. NCBI's taxonomy places the organism in Eukaryota, Metazoa, Nematoda, Chromadorea, Rhabditida, Rhabditidae.
AUGUAAGAGAGUGGAGAUGAAGAGAAAUGGGAAGAGGUUACAGAGAUUUCUGGCAAUAGAUUAAGGUAAUCGGAAAGAUCGUCAAAUCGAUAGAUUAAUUGAUUUGCAUUCGUAAUAGAUUAAUCACUGUUCGAACAAUGAGAAACGUUUGAAAACUUGUGCCUCCCAAAGUUUUUGAGUGUUCCAAUUUUAA